Transfer RNA from Rozella allomycis CSF55, 73 nucleotides. It matches the Rfam family "tRNA". From Rfam's summary of the family: Transfer RNA (tRNA) molecules are approximately 80 nucleotides in length. Their secondary structure includes four short double-helical elements and three loops (D, anti-codon, and T loops). The record is from Rfam. Lineage: Eukaryota; Fungi; Rozellomycota.
GGCUAGUUGGCGCAACUGGUAGCGCAAUCGACUCCAGAUCGAUAGGUUACAAGUUCGAGUCUUGUACUGGUCA